UAUCCCCCAAACUAAGGGGGGAUGAGAACCACCGACCGGGGUUCGACAACUGGCGCAGCCAGUUGGACAGACGACGAGCUUGCGAGGAGACUGCCCGAAGGGCGAGCGCAGCGAGUCAAUCCCCCCCCUCACCGCCA
This 137-nucleotide small RNA is filed under the name Salmonella enterica subsp. enterica serovar Muenchen. RNAcentral describes it as "RtT sRNA". It matches the Rfam family "RtT RNA". Rfam says of the family: This family represents a bacterial cis-regulatory element known as RtT RNA. The exact function of RtT is unknown although it is thought that it may be involved in changing the cellular response in relation to amino acid starvation. The record is from RNAcentral. RNAcentral also lists the same sequence under 2 other names. Lineage: Bacteria; Pseudomonadati; Pseudomonadota; Gammaproteobacteria; Enterobacterales; Enterobacteriaceae.